Molecule: long non-coding RNA, 348 nt
Organism: Gopherus flavomarginatus (Mexican gopher tortoise)
Lineage: Eukaryota; Metazoa; Chordata; Testudines; Testudinidae
Exons: 2
Source: RefSeq, a predicted model, not a curated record
GGAGAGUGGUGGCUGCUGACCGAGUGGUGGGAUGUAAACUACUCCAGACACAAAGAAGCAGGGCAUGAUCAAAUAAGUUUGAGAACCACUGGACUAAGCCACAGUGCCUCUCUUCUAGUCCCUGAAGUUAUGCCAUCUGAAAAACAUGGAAAGAAAAGGAGAGAGAGACUGAAGAAAAGGGGAGCUGGAAAUACAGAGAAAGCAAGAGAAGAUAUACCAUAUUAUAUCAAAUGGAAAAAGGGAGCGAAGCGAGCAGGAAAAAGAAGGUAAAAUAAGAACAAGAAAGAUGCAAGUUUAAUUAUAAAAUAUAUGUAUUAAAUAAAGAAUUGACAACAUAUUACAAUUAAA